Molecule: long non-coding RNA, 1384 nt
Organism: Malania oleifera
Lineage: Eukaryota; Viridiplantae; Streptophyta; Magnoliopsida; Santalales; Ximeniaceae
Exons: 5
Source: RefSeq, a predicted model, not a curated record
UAGGGAUAAUUAAUCAUUGUAAUACAUUGCAUACAAGAGCAAGAAUUAUCAUUGCAAUGCAUUGUAUUCAACGAGGAAGCAAGACCCGUUGGAAAAGCUCAUCAUGUCAAAUUUAAUUAUGGGUGUGCAGAUAAAAAUCAAGGUGCUUCAUAUGAUUGCCAAUUUGGGUCAGCUGUUCUUUGUACCCACCACAGAAAAGGUACUUCGACGGAAGGGUGGCAGUGGGGGGUUGAGGAAAUAUAUGAAACUGAUCGACAUUCUCUUAAUUUUCCCCUUCACGCUCUCGAUCCCUGCAUCCCUCGCCCUGUGAGAUCUCUUAUGAAUUAUCGAUGUGCUCUAAAACGCUCUAUCUCUCUUUGAAUCUCUGAUUGUUUACGUGUCAGCCAGAGUUCAUAUAAAUUAAGAGGGAUAGUUUUAUCUUGAUGCAAUGUCGUUGGAGCUUCCAUGCCUAAACACCUCCGCUGCCGCCUAUGCCUGAUUUGCAUUCCCAAGAAGUGUGAUCAGAUUGCGCACAUCGGGUCUCCAUCAUCAUGAGCUUAGAAAUUUGCAGAGUUAUUUUCCACGCCUGUCGUACCAGCAAGCUAGAAACAAAGUGAGCAAAAGGCCAAAAUGCCACGAUAAACUCAUAAAAAUACUAUGAAGGGUACGGUGGUCCUCGAAAGAGGAAGAUUAUUAAUCCCAAAUUCCAUUACUAAAUGUUGAGUGCAAGGGGACCACGUUUUACUUCCUGUUUUGAAGAGACAAUAACCCAUUUCCAAGCUAUGGUCCCUCGCCCCUUUUUGGAGCCUGUCUGUAUGAACUCUGCAUUCAAACAUUCUCAUCGUGCAAAUGGACGAUCUGCAGGUUUACCGACCUUCUGCAUUGGUCUUCCUCAUUCUGUUUAAAGGCCUUGAGUUCCACUGAUAUUACAUGGCCUCGGGCUGUACCAUAUAACGGAGGUCUCUGUUGAAAGCUGUUUUUGGUGGACUCGAGCCAAUCCUGGACAGCAUCAUGAGAACUAUGCAUGGAAAGAAUUUGCUAUUUUCAGGUUUGUGUAUUUGGGAUUUCGAGACUUGUGGGGGAAUUCUGGUAUGCGGCUUAGAUGAUCCUCUGCCUUUAUCACAUAAGACAAAAUGAGCUGUUGAAUAAUUGCAUAAAGUGGAGGAGAUGGGUAAACAAAAAGGCAAGAACUUUACCCGGAAUGGUGGGUUUUCCUCACCGUUCAUACCCAUGCAGAAAUUUUUAGUGGGGCAUGGUGGAGUCGCUCUGGAUUUUCGGUGGCCAUUUUUUUAAAAAUAUAUAUAUAUUGUCACAGAGCAGGGUUAACUAUAUUUUAUUUGCUAAUAUAUUCAUACAAAUAUAAUUAUUAUAUUAAUAUAUGAAACAUAAUCAAUUACCCUGUUUA